Molecule: ribosomal RNA, 424 nt
Filed under: uncultured bacterium
Lineage: Bacteria
Description: bacterial SSU rRNA
Rfam family: Bacterial small subunit ribosomal RNA
Source: RNAcentral
UGAGGAAUAUUGGUCAAUGGGCGGGAGCCUGAACCAGCCAAGUCGCGUGAGGGAAGACGGUCCUAUGGAUUGUAAACCUCUUUUGUCGGGGAGCAAGGAUGUCCACGAGUGGAGAUUCAGAGAGUACCCGAAGAAAAAGCAUCGGCUAACUCCGUGCCAGCAGCCGCGGUAAUACGGAGGAUGCGAGCGUUAUCCGGAUUUAUUGGGUUUAAAGGGUGCGUAGGCCGGUUGUCAAGUCAGUGGUAAAAUUGAGAGGCUCAACCUCUUCGAGCCGUUGAAACUGGUGAUCUUGAGUGGGCGAGAAGUAUGCGGAAUGCGUGGUGUAGCGGUGAAAUGCAUAGAUAUCACGCAGAACUCCGAUUGCGAAGGCAGCAUACCGGCGCCCGACUGACGCUGAAGCACGAAAGCGUGGGUAUCAAACAGG